Molecule: ribosomal RNA, 1176 nt
Filed under: Salmonella enterica subsp. enterica serovar Enteritidis
Lineage: Bacteria; Pseudomonadati; Pseudomonadota; Gammaproteobacteria; Enterobacterales; Enterobacteriaceae
Description: partial 23S ribosomal RNA
Rfam family: Bacterial large subunit ribosomal RNA
Source: RNAcentral
GGGUUGUGAGGUUAAGCGACUAAGCGUACACGGUGGAUGCCCUGGCAGUCAGAGGCGAUGAAGGGCGUGCUAAUCUGCGAUAAGCGCCGGUAAGGUGAUAUGAACCGUUAUAACCGGCGAUACCCGAAUGGGGAAACCCAGUGUGAUUCGUCACACUAUCAUUAACUGAAUCCAUAGGUUAAUGAGGCGAACCGGGGGAACUGAAACAUCUAAGUACCCCGAGGAAAAGAAAUCAACCGAGAUUCCCCCAGUAGCGGCGAGCGAACGGGGAGGAGCCCAGAGCCUGAAUCAGCAUGUGUGUUAGUGGAAGCGUCUGGAAAGGCGCGCGAUACAGGGUGACAGCCCCGUACACAAAAGCGCAUGUGCUGUGAGCUCGAUGAGUAGGGCGGGACACGUGGUAUCCUGUCUGAAUAUGGGGGGACCAUCCUCCAAGGCUAAAUACUCCUGACUGACCGAUAGUGAACCAGUACCGUGAGGGAAAGGCGAAAAGAACCCCGGCGAGGGGAGUGAAAAAGAACCUGAAACCGUGUACGUACAAGCAGUGGGAGCACCCUUUGGGUGUGACUGCGUACCUUUUGUAUAAUGGGUCAGCGACUUAUAUUCUGUAGCAAGGUUAACCGAAUAGGGGAGCCGGAGGGAAACCGAGUCUUAAUUGGGCGUUAAGUUGCAGGGUAUAGACCCGAAACCCGGUGAUCUAGCCAUGGGCAGGUUGAAGGUUGGGUAACACUAACUGGAGGACCGAACCGACUAAUGUUGAAAAAUUAGCGGAUGACCUGUGGCUGGGGGUGAAAGGCCAAUCAAACCGGGAGAUAGCUGGUUCUCCCCGAAAGCUAUUUAGGUAGCGCCUCGUGAAUUCAUCUCCGGGGGUAGAGCACUGUUUCGGCUAGGGGGCCAUCCCGGCUUACCAACCCGAUGCAAACUGCGAAUACCGGAGAAUGUUAUCACGGGAGACACACGGCGGGUGCUAACGUCCGUCGUGAAGAGGGAAACAACCCAGACCGCCAGCUAAGGUCCCAAAGUCAUGGUUAAGUGGGAAACGAUGUGGGAAGGCCCAGACAGCCAGGAUGUUGGCUUAGAAGCAGCCAUCAUUUAAAGAAAGCGUAAUAGCUCACUGGUCGAGUCGGCCUGCGCGGAAGAUGUAACGGGGCUAAACCAUGCACCGAAGCUGCGGCAGCG